Molecule: ribosomal RNA, 478 nt
Filed under: uncultured Bifidobacterium sp.
Lineage: Bacteria; Bacillati; Actinomycetota; Actinomycetes; Bifidobacteriales; Bifidobacteriaceae
Description: bacterial SSU rRNA
Rfam family: Bacterial small subunit ribosomal RNA
Source: RNAcentral
CGCAUGUGGUGUUGGGAAAAUGUUUAGUGCUAUACGAUGGGAUCGCGUCCUAUCAGCUUGUUGGUGGGGUAAUGGCCUACCAAGGCUUCGACGGGUAGCCGGCCUGAGAGGGCGACCGGCCACAUUGGGACUGAGAUACGGCCCAGACUCCUACGGGAGGCAGCAGUGGGGAAUAUUGCACAAUGGGGGGAACCCUGAUGCAGCGACGCCGCGUGCGGGAUGACGGCCUUCGGGUUGUAAACCGCUUUUAUUGGGGAGCAAGCGCAAGUGAGUGUACCUUUUGAAUAAGCACCGGCUAACUACGUGCCAGCAGCCGCGGUAAUACGUAGGGUGCAAGCGUUGUCCGGAAUUAUUGGGCGUAAAGAGCUCGUAGGCGGUUUGUCGCGUCUGGUGUGAAAGUCCAUCGCUUAACGGUGGAUCUGCGCUGGGUACGGGCAGGCUAGAGUGCAGUAGGGGAGACUGGAAUUCCCGGUGUAAC